CUCCUCAGACUCUACAGUACCAGCACUCCUAGCUAUCUUCGAGACACCACUGACUUUCUGAGGAAACUAUAAUCCUUUGGUGAUCUUCCAGAAAACAUCAUCCUAGCCACUAUGGAUGUAGAAGCCCUCUACACCAACAUUCCACACAAAGAUGGACUACAAGCCAUCCGGACUAGCAUCCCCGAUACCAUCACAGCAAACCUGGUGGCUGAACUUUGUGACUUUGUCCUCACCUACAACUAUUUCAGAUUUGGAGACAGUUUAUACCUUCAAGUAAGCGGGACUGCUAUGGGUACCCGCAUGGCCCCACAGUAUGCCAACAUUUUUAUGGCUGACUUAGAACAACGCUUCCUCAGCUCUCAUCCCUUAUACCGCCCAUGUUCU
This is a long non-coding RNA of Dermochelys coriacea (leatherback sea turtle), 384 nucleotides long. RefSeq lists it as uncharacterized. NCBI's taxonomy places the organism in Eukaryota, Metazoa, Chordata, Testudines, Dermochelyidae. The transcript is spliced from 3 exons. The record is from RefSeq and is a predicted model, not a curated record.